This 2650-nucleotide ribosomal RNA is filed under the name Escherichia coli. Its description in RNAcentral is "bacterial LSU rRNA". It matches the Rfam family "Bacterial large subunit ribosomal RNA". Lineage: Bacteria; Pseudomonadati; Pseudomonadota; Gammaproteobacteria; Enterobacterales; Enterobacteriaceae. The record is from RNAcentral.
ACACUAUCAUUAACUGAAUCCAUAGGUUAAUGAGGCGAACCGGGGGAACUGAAACAUCUAAGUACCCCGAGGAAAAGAAAUCAACCGAGAUUCCCCCAGUAGCGGCGAGCGAACGGGGAGCAGCCCAGAGCCUGAAUCAGUGUGUGUGUUAGUGGAAGCGUCUGGAAAGGCGCGCGAUACAGGGUGACAGCCCCGUACACAAAAAUGCACAUGCUGUGAGCUCGAUGAGUAGGGCGGGACACGUGGUAUCCUGUCUGAAUAUGGGGGGACCAUCCUCCAAGGCUAAAUACUCCUGACUGACCGAUAGUGAACCAGUACCGUGAGGGAAAGGCGAAAAGAACCCCGGCGAGGGGAGUGAAAAAGAACCUGAAACCGUGUACGUACAAGCAGUGGGAGCACGCUUAGGCGUGUGACUGCGUACCUUUUGUAUAAUGGGUCAGCGACUUAUAUUCUGUAGCAAGGUUAACCGAAUAGGGGAGCCGAAGGGAAACCGAGUCUUAACUGGGCGUUAAGUUGCAGGGUAUAGACCCGAAACCCGGUGAUCUAGCCAUGGGCAGGUUGAAGGUUGGGUAACACUAACUGGAGGACCGAACCGACUAAUGUUGAAAAAUUAGCGGAUGACUUGUGGCUGGGGGUGAAAGGCCAAUCAAACCGGGAGAUAGCUGGUUCUCCCCGAAAGCUAUUUAGGUAGCGCCUCGUGAAUUCAUCUCCGGGGGUAGAGCACUGUUUCGGCAAGGGGGUCAUCCCGACUUACCAACCCGAUGCAAACUGCGAAUACCGGAGAAUGUUAUCACGGGAGACACACGGCGGGUGCUAACGUCCGUCGUGAAGAGGGAAACAACCCAGACCGCCAGCUAAGGUCCCAAAGUCAUGGUUAAGUGGGAAACGAUGUGGGAAGGCCCAGACAGCCAGGAUGUUGGCUUAGAAGCAGCCAUCAUUUAAAGAAAGCGUAAUAGCUCACUGGUCGAGUCGGCCUGCGCGGAAGAUGUAACGGGGCUAAACCAUGCACCGAAGCUGCGGCAGCGACGCUUAUGCGUUGUUGGGUAGGGGAGCGUUCUGUAAGCCUGUGAAGGUGUACUGUGAGGUAUGCUGGAGGUAUCAGAAGUGCGAAUGCUGACAUAAGUAACGAUAAAGCGGGUGAAAAGCCCGCUCGCCGGAAGACCAAGGGUUCCUGUCCAACGUUAAUCGGGGCAGGGUGAGUCGACCCCUAAGGCGAGGCCGAAAGGCGUAGUCGAUGGGAAACAGGUUAAUAUUCCUGUACUUGGUGUUACUGCGAAGGGGGGACGGAGAAGGCUAUGUUGGCCGGGCGACGGUUGUCCCGGUUUAAGCGUGUAGGCUGGUUUUCCAGGCAAAUCCGGAAAAUCAAGGCUGAGGCGUGAUGACGAGGCACUACGGUGCUGAAGCAACAAAUGCCCUGCUUCCAGGAAAAGCCUCUAAGCAUCAGGUAACAUCAAAUCGUACCCCAAACCGACACAGGUGGUCAGGUAGAGAAUACCAAGGCGCUUGAGAGAACUCGGGUGAAGGAACUAGGCAAAAUGGUGCCGUAACUUCGGGAGAAGGCACGCUGAUAUGUAGGUGAAGUCCCUCGCGGAUGGAGCUGAAAUCAGUCGAAGAUACCAGCUGGCUGCAACUGUUUAUUAAAAACACAGCACUGUGCAAACACGAAAGUGGACGUAUACGGUGUGACGCCUGCCCGGUGCCGGAAGGUUAAUUGAUGGGGUUAGCGCAAGCGAAGCUCUUGAUCGAAGCCCCGGUAAACGGCGGCCGUAACUAUAACGGUCCUAAGGUAGCGAAAUUCCUUGUCGGGUAAGUUCCGACCUGCACGAAUGGCGUAAUGAUGGCCAGGCUGUCUCCACCCGAGACUCAGUGAAAUUGAACUCGCUGUGAAGAUGCAGUGUACCCGCGGCAAGACGGAAAGACCCCGUGAACCUUUACUAUAGCUUGACACUGAACAUUGAGCCUUGAUGUGUAGGAUAGGUGGGAGGCUUUGAAGUGUGGACGCCAGUCUGCAUGGAGCCGACCUUGAAAUACCACCCUUUAAUGUUUGAUGUUCUAACGUUGACCCGUAAUCCGGGUUGCGGACAGUGUCUGGUGGGUAGUUUGACUGGGGCGGUCUCCUCCUAAAGAGUAACGGAGGAGCACGAAGGUUGGCUAAUCCUGGUCGGACAUCAGGAGGUUAGUGCAAUGGCAUAAGCCAGCUUGACUGCGAGCGUGACGGCGCGAGCAGGUGCGAAAGCAGGUCAUAGUGAUCCGGUGGUUCUGAAUGGAAGGGCCAUCGCUCAACGGAUAAAAGGUACUCCGGGGAUAACAGGCUGAUACCGCCCAAGAGUUCAUAUCGACGGCGGUGUUUGGCACCUCGAUGUCGGCUCAUCACAUCCUGGGGCUGAAGUAGGUCCCAAGGGUAUGGCUGUUCGCCAUUUAAAGUGGUACGCGAGCUGGGUUUAGAACGUCGUGAGACAGUUCGGUCCCUAUCUGCCGUGGGCGCUGGAGAACUGAGGGGGGCUGCUCCUAGUACGAGAGGACCGGAGUGGACGCAUCACUGGUGUUCGGGUUGUCAUGCCAAUGGCACUGCCCGGUAGCUAAAUGCGGAAGAGAUAAGUGCUGAAAGCAUCUAAGCACGAAACUUGCCCCGAGAUGAGUUCUCCCUGAC